Molecule: long non-coding RNA, 1352 nt
Organism: Acanthopagrus latus (yellowfin seabream)
Lineage: Eukaryota; Metazoa; Chordata; Actinopteri; Spariformes; Sparidae
Exons: 2
Source: RefSeq, a predicted model, not a curated record
AUUCUUAGAGAGGGCUUUUGAACUCUUGACAUAAUUUUUUUUUCUCUUUCUUUUUUCACUCUGCAAAUGGAAAAUUAUUCAUUCAGAAAGAUCGGGGUGAGACACAGAGAGUUUCUCCGAAUCUUACAACAUGGCCUCUCUCUCGGUAUGACUGGCACAAACGCCUGAAUGUGUGUGUGUGUGUGUGUGUGUGUGUGUGCCACGCCGAAGGGCCCCCGACCGGUGAGCAGGUGUGUGUGAAGGAGGAGAGCGUUGAGGUGAAAGGUGAGUGUUCCCCCUCUUGUGUUUCUGGAGCCGUGUUGUUCUAAGAAGCUCACUUGUGAUCCCACAUCGGCUGCGUAUGUGUGUGUGUGUGUGUGUGUGAUGAAUUGUUCUGUUUAAGCCGGCCCCGCAAAAACCCAGCAGUCCCCUCCCCCUCAGCCACACUCCGGUGCGUCUUUGAUCGCGCACCCACUGUGGGUGACCCGACACCUCUGCAACAAGUCUCGCUGGAGAGAGAAACUAAUGUGAAAGUCACCCGUCAAACCAUUUUGUAACCUUCUGUCAUUUAGACAGCUGAUGUCGGUGCCUACGCGCCUCUCUCAUGCCCUUUUUUAAUAAAAACAACAAAGAUGUUGUGGUGGCGUUCAUGAGAAGGUUUCCACGGUACCUCUGCUGUUGGCUUCCCUCCUCCACUGAGCAACACGCACACAAAUAAUUUACAAAAAAAGUCUCUCAAUGAGUUUUAAGAAUUCAGAUUGUUCGAGGCCAGCGGUGCUAAAAAACAGUUUGACACUUUAACCUACUUUAGGAGUCUCGCGUUUGGAUUUCUCCUUCAAAAAAAAAAAAAAAAAAAAUGACACUCUUAACUGGAUGCCUGCAGAGAGAGAGAGGAGGAAGAAAAAGAGAGCGCCAUCUCUUCCGUAAUUAGAAAUGCAAAGAGACGUACUGUGCCGACAUUUACUCCGGCGGUUCGGUCCAGGACGGGUACGAGUGAAACAGAGCUGGAGCGAAGCCCGAGAGAGAGACAGAGAGAGAAGCUCAGGUGUUCACUGUCUCUACAAGCUGCUGAUGUGAAUGAAGAUUAUAGAAAAGUAACCCUGACUGUGCUGGAAGACAAAUUGCAGCCUGUUAUUACCACAACCAAGACAUGAAGUUACACAUUAUUAGUGGAAGAAACAUUGUAAGAAGUGACAGUGACACUACACAGGUGUGUAAACCUGCACCUGGUCGGGCUUUUCUACUUAAAAAAAAGGUAAUAAAAUAUCAUCCUUACCAUCGCACCUCGUCACAUACAGCUGUAAAAAUGGACAUUAUGCUUAUUUUCACUGUACAAUCAGCCUGGGUUGAAUCAUAAUAAAUAAAUAAAAACA